Molecule: long non-coding RNA, 375 nt
Filed under: Musa acuminata (dwarf banana)
Lineage: Eukaryota; Viridiplantae; Streptophyta; Magnoliopsida; Zingiberales; Musaceae
Description: long non-coding RNA (MACU_LNC006539)
Source: RNAcentral
UUUGGUAUCAGAGCGACGAUAAGAUUUUAGGGUCUUAUCAUUUGGUAUCAGAGCCUACGAUAAGACCUUUAGGGUCUUAUCAUUUGGUAUCAGAGUGACGAUAAGACUUUAGGGUCUUAUCAAUUGGUAUCAAAGCAACGAUCCUUGGCGCAGCUUGCCUACAAGGCAACUCUUUCUUCACCGUUGUCACUGUUUCCCUAGCCAGUGACCUUCGACCACCGCUCGACCUCCUCGCUGCCCCAUCUCGUUCAAAAAAAAAAAAAAAAAGAAAAAAAAAAAGAAAAGAAGAAACACGAGAGGAAGAAGAAGCCGCAGCCACCCUUGCGUCCCCUGCUUCCGGCCAGCCCAACCGUCGCUGUUGCUCUUCGGCCAGCG